GGCUGAGAACUGUGAGCCCUCAGAGUGAUGCUGUUCCCUGUGCUCUCUCUCCACUCAUACCUGAGAUACAUCAUGGAGCAGCCAUCUCAACCUGGUGAUCCUGCCCUUUCACAGAAACCCUAUGCAGGGUGGCUGUGCCCUGCCAUGGCACUCUCAGCACUGGUUUGGAUCGUUUUCUCAUUUGAAGCAACAGACAGAGUGGUACACUUACCCAGUCUUCCCAGUUUGCCCUGCAGUUGGAUGUGGCCUGAGGCUGGUCCUGCUGACGGAUGAUGACGGGAGGUGACCUGCAUCCCUCCCAGGUCUGGCUGCCAUGCUCUUUCCCUUCUCUGGCUCACUGACACGAUGAUGCUCAGGACAACCUUGAAAGCCACACGUUGAAGAUGGAGGAAUCGCUAUCAACCUGGGUGCUCUGACGACAGAACAUGUCCUCUGGACUGUUAUGUGUGCAAGAAAGAACUUUUGUUGCGUUCAAGCCAUUAUAUUCUGGGUCUAUUUGUCACCCCAGUUUAGCCUAUUCCAACAGACAUACUCUUCUGACCAUUUGGUUAUCCCAGGCCUAUGUUCAGUGACACAGAUGACUUCUCUGAAGCCAACCACUGUGUCUGAAUCCAGCAAAGAAAACCAGAGAUGUAGAGAAAGCAGCCAGGGAAGGACAACCAGGAGGAGGCACCUGCACGGCUCUGCCAUUGACGUCUGAGCCAACGGAGGCUGCUGUGGCAAUUGUGUUAGGCACCGUGGCUGUACUGGUUUCACAGAUGUGCAUGUAGGACAUGGGUAUUUUUAAUUCACGGCUGGCCACCUAUGGAAAAAGAAACAAUUUCAAGUCUGAAAAGCUUCUGGAAUUCCAGAGUGCGACGGAAUGAACUGGAGUGCACUUCGUUUCCGGAAAGCCUCCCAUUGGAGGAUGGACACAGGAAUGACUGCUCUGAUCUUAACUGAGCUCGGAGCACUUAACUGAUGAAGGAUGUAACAAAUGUGAGUGAGUGCCACUGUUACUACUUGGGACUCACUGAACGCAGCUUGCAUUUUUCUGAAGUGGACACUCCCUUCCCACCCACCCAGACCAUUUUGUCUGCACAGCCCAGAAUGAAAACAAAACUUCCCACUCCCUAUUGUAGUUCUACCAAAAAAGAAUUGGCCCUGGUCCCUUUGCCUUUUUGAAAUCAGGAAUAAAUACAUGGCUGGAACCGUUUACCUAUAUGGUUAUUAUCAUCUUCUCCAAGGGAAAUGCUGGAUAAUAAAUCAGAGAAGUUAGGAAACAGAGCAACAUGUACCAAUUCAGAAUUUAUAGUAAUUUUGACAAAUGCUAGGCUGAAGUUUACCUUUGACUUUUCAUGAAGAAAGGAUUGCUAAGCAAAAUAGUACCACAAACGAGGGAGCUGAGAGAUUCUCAAACAGUAUGAACUUUUCAAGAAUUUUGGAAGAACUUGUUCGCACAUAAACAUCUGAUAUGCUAAUUUACAAAUAGCUCUGAAUAGCCAAGCAAAACUUUGUUAGCUAGGUUGGAAUGAGGAUACACACACGUACACAUUAUAAUAU
This is a long non-coding RNA of Camelus dromedarius (Arabian camel), 1542 nucleotides long. RefSeq lists it as uncharacterized. The transcript has 4 exons. The record is from RefSeq and is a predicted model, not a curated record. Lineage: Eukaryota; Metazoa; Chordata; Mammalia; Artiodactyla; Camelidae.